AUAACGGUCCUAAGGUAGCGAAAUUCCUUGUCAGGUAAGUUCUGACCCGCACGAAUGGCGUAACGAUUUGGGCGCUGUCUCAACAGCCCACCCGGCGAAAUUGUAGUACUGGUGAAGAUGCCAGUUACCCGCAACUAGACGGAAAGACCCCAUGGAGCUUUACUGUAGCUUAAUACUGGAAAUCGGUAAAUCAUGUACAGGAUAGGUGGGAGACUUGGAAGCCAGGGCGUCAGCUUUGGUGGAGUCACCCUUGGGAUACCACCCUUGAUUUGCUGGUUUUCUAACCUGCGGCCGUGAAUCCGGUCGGGGGACACUGUUAGGUGGGCAGUUUGACUGGGGCGGUCGCCUCCUAAAAGGUAACGGAGGCGCUCAAAGGUUCGUUCAGCACGGACGGAAACCGUGCAGUGAGUGUAAACGCAUAAACGAGCCUAACUGCGAGACCGACGGGUCGAGCAGUAACGAAAGUUGGAGUUAGUGAUCCGGCGGUAUGCAAGUGGAAGUGCCGUCGCUCAACGGAUAAAAGCUACCCUGGGGAUAACAGGCUGAUCUCCCCCAAGAGUCCACAUCGACGGGGAGGUUUGGCACCUCGAUGUCGGCUCAUCGCAUCCUGGGGCUGUAGUCGGUCCCAAGGGUUGGGCUGUUCGCCCAUUAAAGCGGUACGCGAGCUGGGUUCAGAACGUCGUGAGACAGUUCGGUCCCUAUCCGUCGCGGGCGGAGGAAAUUUGAGAGGACCUGUCCUUAGUACGAGAGGACCGGGAUGGACAUACCGCUGGUGUACCAGUUGUUCCGCCAGGAGCACCGCUGGGUAGCUAUGUAUGGACGAGAUAAACGCUGAAAGCAUCUAAGUGUGAAACUCGCCUCGAGAUGAGAUUUCCCAUUCCUUCGGGAAGUAAGACCCCACAAAGAUGAUAUGGUAGAUAGGAUGGAAGUGGAAGUGCCGUGAGGCAUGGAGCGGACCAUUACUAAUCGGUCGAGGACUUAACCAA
Molecule: ribosomal RNA, 986 nt
Filed under: human gut metagenome
Description: bacterial LSU rRNA
Rfam family: Bacterial large subunit ribosomal RNA
Source: RNAcentral